UUAAAGAGGAGUUUCACAGGAUUGCAGGAUUUCCAAAUGUGGUUGGAUGCAUUGAUGGAACACAUAUUCCCAUCAAUGCACCUUCUGAAAAUGAAGGGGACUAUGUCAACAGGAGGUCCAUCCACAGUAUUAAUGUGCAGAUCAUAUGUGAUGCUGCACAUAUUAUCACGAACGUGGAGGCCAAGUGGCCCGGCUCUGUUCAUGACUCACGAAUAUAUCGUGAGUCAACCCUAAGUAACAGGCUGCAAUGUGGAGAGAUUGAUGGCUUUCUGCUGGGAGAUAGGGGUUACCCAUGCCAGCCCACACUGAUGACCCCUUACCCAGAACCUGCAGCAGGCCCCCAGCAGCGCUUUAAUGUGGCACACUGCAGAACAAGAGCCCGGGUGGAAAUGACCAUAGGCCUGUUGAAAGCACGUUUUCAUUGCCUACGUCACCUCAGGGUAACACCUGAGAGGGCCUGUGACAUU
Molecule: long non-coding RNA, 467 nt
Organism: Monopterus albus (swamp eel)
Lineage: Eukaryota; Metazoa; Chordata; Actinopteri; Synbranchiformes; Synbranchidae
Exons: 4
Source: RefSeq, a predicted model, not a curated record